AUCAUUUUCAGUUCACAAGUGUGAUGAUAGGGUGUUCAUGCUGUUGUGUGAGAUGGCCUCCAUCUAAACCUUGUUACAAUGUUUAUAGAUCUGAUG
Molecule: small nucleolar RNA, 96 nt
Filed under: Ictidomys tridecemlineatus (thirteen-lined ground squirrel)
Lineage: Eukaryota; Metazoa; Chordata; Mammalia; Rodentia; Sciuridae
Description: Spermophilus tridecemlineatus (thirteen-lined ground squirrel) Small nucleolar RNA U13
Rfam family: Small nucleolar RNA U13
Source: Rfam by way of RNAcentral